CACGUAGGGUGCGAGCGUUGUCCGGAAUUAUUGGGCGUAAAGAGCUCGUAGGUAGUGUGUCGCGUCGGCCGUGAAAACCUGCAGCUUAACUGUGGGCUUGCGGUCGAUACGGGCAUCACUGGAGUUCGGCAGGGGAGACUGGAAUUCCUGGUGUAGCGGUGAAAUGCGCAGAUAUCAGGAGGAACACCGGUGGCGAAGGCGGGUCUCUGGGCCGAUACUGACGCUGAGGAGCGAAAGCGUGGGGAGCGAACAGG
RNAcentral lists this ribosomal RNA (254 nucleotides) under uncultured bacterium. Its description in RNAcentral is "partial 16S ribosomal RNA". It matches the Rfam family "Bacterial small subunit ribosomal RNA", at positions 524 to 776 of the family's 1533-position model. The record is from RNAcentral.